CCCUGAAAGAUGAUCAGGUUGAUAGGUCUGAGGUGGAAGUGUGGCGACACAUGGAGCUGACAGAUACUAAUCGAUCGAGGACUUAACCUA
RNAcentral lists this ribosomal RNA (90 nucleotides) under Bacillus licheniformis. RNAcentral describes it as "partial 23S ribosomal RNA". It matches the Rfam family "Bacterial large subunit ribosomal RNA", at positions 2835 to 2925 of the family's 2925-position model. RNAcentral also lists the same sequence under 4 other names. The record is from RNAcentral. Lineage: Bacteria; Bacillati; Bacillota; Bacilli; Caryophanales; Bacillaceae.